CCCUAGUGGAGGAGGACGCCGAAGGUGGGGCUAAUGACUGGGGUGAAGUCGUAACAAGGUAGCCGUACCGGAAGGUGCGGCUGGAUCACCUCCUAACAGGGAGACAACAAAAUGUUUAAUAUUAUUAUUUUGUCACCUUAGGUCGAUCGGUAUCUCACGUUUUUAAUUUAUUAAGAAUUUCAUUUCCUAAGUUUUUCUAGGUCACACCCAUUAUUUUUCCUGGGCCAUUAGCUCAGGUGGUUAGAGCGCACCCCUGAUAAGGGUGAGGUCCCUGGUUCAAGUCCAGGAUGGCCCAUAUCUCUAUGUUGGGGGUAUAGCUCAGUUGGUAGAGCGCCUGCUUUGCAAGCAGGAUGUCAGCGGUUCGAGUCCGCUUACCUCCACUGAUUACCACCUCUUCCAUAAUCUUUAGAAAGGAAAUGUUUUGAGCUGUGAUCAAAUUCUGAACGAAUCUAGCUUCCUAAUGAAAUCAUUAAGAUGCUGGACUCAUUGAAUUAAUUUCAUUGUUUUCAGAGAACCUUGACAACUGCAUAGAUUAUUUUUAAAGACAAUAAGCAUCUUUGAUGAUGCAGAUUUAUUAUUUGUGCAAAUGCAUUAAUAACAAUUCUAUUAAGCUGAUGCUUCAAUUUUGAAGUUAUUGGUCAAGCUACAAAGGGCUCACGGAGGAUACCUAGGCACAC
This 677-nucleotide unclassified non-coding RNA is filed under the name uncultured Prochlorococcus sp. RNAcentral's name for it is "partial may contain 16S ribosomal RNA, 16S-23S ribosomal RNA intergenic spacer, and 23S ribosomal RNA". The stretch from base 1 to 96 matches the Rfam family "Bacterial small subunit ribosomal RNA", at positions 1438 to 1533 of the family's 1533-position model. The record is from RNAcentral. Lineage: Bacteria; Bacillati; Cyanobacteriota; Cyanophyceae; Synechococcales; Prochlorococcaceae.